AUAUCUCCGGCGCCCUUUUCGCCUUUAUCCGCGCCUAUAUCGCAUUCCGGCAGGUCCACGUUGCGUCUUCGGGGUCGCCGGUGGUUUCGCGAUUUUUUGGUCAUGGAGUGCCGUGUCGUGCUUCCGCUCCAGGGCGCCGGGGUCGUCGGGGCCCGUCCACGCGUUGCCGUCCCCGUGCAGCAGGCGUUCUGGAGGACGGCGGAGCGGCGGCUGCGGCGGCUUGCGGGUGCCGUGGCGCCGACGAGGUGCAGCAAGAUGUACGUCCCCGGCUUUGGAGAAGGUUCGCCGGAGAGGAAGGCGGCGAUCCAUAUGCAGAACUUCUUCAAUUACAUCGCCGUCAGGAUUGUGCUCUCACAGCUUGAGAGUUACAAUCGGGAAGCAUAUUUUGAGCUUAAGGAGUUCGUCAGCCGCACCUCCCUGAACGAUGCUGAACUUUUCUGCAAAAAGUUGAUACGUGAGUCUCCAAGGCUGAAGGGACUAGCUAUGAGGAUUCUGGAGGUCCGAUCUGCUUAUAUGAAGAGUGAUUUCGAGUGGGACAACCUGAAGGAGUUAUCAUUCAAGCAGGGCUUCACCACCGGCUCCUCCACCGGUUUCUAGUGAAGCUCUACCAAAAAGGCACGAGCAAAACAGCUCCCAUCCAAGAGCUCCGGGAAAUCCGCUCUCUAGAGCUUUUUGGUGGAGGGGAAGCUGAAAAAAUUAGCUCCGUGCCGCUUCACCCUCGGCCGCGGGGGCAACUGACCUUUUUGCCCACCAUGACCCCCAGUGGAGGAAGGCAGCGCUAGGGGCCGUGGGGCGCGAGGCGGAGUGAGGUGGCGCUGGGGGCAGCGGGUUGGUGGCGCUGGGAGCCUACGCUGUGGGGCAGCGGAUGGCGGCGCUAGGGGCUGGCGGUGGAGCGGAGGCGCUGGGGCGGCGAUAGAGAAGAGAAGCAGAGGCCUGCCACCUGCGGAUGGAUAGCGGAUGGCGUUGCGAGUGGAUAAGGCGAGUGGACGGCUUUCUUUGGGAACAAGAUGGUUGAUGAGGAUAAUACGAAACUCAUGAGGAACUAUGUCUUGGAGGUCAGCCACAUCGAAGACGAAAACUAUAACAUCAAAUGAUUUUUAUUGAGCCUUGCCAUGAUAUUCUACAUC
Molecule: RNA transcript, 1127 nt
Organism: Setaria italica (foxtail millet)
Lineage: Eukaryota; Viridiplantae; Streptophyta; Magnoliopsida; Poales; Poaceae
Gene name: chaperonin-like RBCX protein 1, chloroplastic
Exons: 7
Source: RefSeq, a predicted model, not a curated record